UACGAAGGGUGCAAGCGUUAAUCGGAAUUACUGGGCGUAAAGCGUGCGUAGGUGGUUUCUUAAGUCUGCUGUGAAAGCCCUGGGCUCAACCUGGGAAUGGCGGUGGAUACUGAGGAGCUAGAGUGCGGUAGAGGAGGGUGGAAUUCCCGGUGUAGCGGUGAAAUGCGUAGAGAUCAGGAAGAACACCAAUGGCGAAAGCAGCUCGCUGGGACGGUACUGACGCUGAGACGCGAAAGCGUGGGGAGCGAACAGG
RNAcentral lists this ribosomal RNA (253 nucleotides) under uncultured bacterium. RNAcentral's name for it is "partial 16S ribosomal RNA". It matches the Rfam family "Bacterial small subunit ribosomal RNA", at positions 524 to 776 of the family's 1533-position model. The record is from RNAcentral.